CCUACGGGUUGCAGCAGUGGGGAAUAUUGCACAAUGGGGGAAACCCUGAUGCAGCCAUGCCGCGUGUGUGAAGAAGGCCUUCGGGUUGUAAAGCACUUUCAGUGGGGAGGAAGGCGAUAAGGUUAAUAACCUUGUCGAUUGACGUUACCCGCAGAAGAAGCACCGGCUAACUCCGUGCCAGCAGCCGCGGCAAUACGGAGGGUGCAAGCGUUAAUCGGAAUUACUGGGCGUAAAGCGCACGCAGGCGGUCUGUCAAGUCGGAUGUGAAAUCCCCGGGCUCAACCUGGGAACUGCAUUCGAAACUGGCAGGCUAGAGUCUUGUAGAGGGGGGUUGAAUUCCAGGUGUAGCGGUGAAAUGCGUAGAGAUCUGAGGAAUACCGGUGGCGAAGGCGGCCCCCUGGACAAAGACUGACGCUCAGGUGCGAAAGCGUGGGGAGCAAACAGGAUUAGAUACCCGUGUAGUC
This 464-nucleotide ribosomal RNA is filed under the name uncultured bacterium. Its description in RNAcentral is "bacterial SSU rRNA". It matches the Rfam family "Bacterial small subunit ribosomal RNA", at positions 338 to 795 of the family's 1533-position model. The record is from RNAcentral.